UACGGAAGAUCCAAGCGUUAUCCGGAUUUAUUGGGUUUAAAGGGUGCGUAGGCGGCUUAUUAAGUCAGGGGUGAAAGACGGUGGCUCAACCAUCGCAGUGCCCUUGAUACUGAUGAGCUUGAAUACGCUAGAGGUAGGCGGAAUGAGACAAGUAGCGGUGAAAUGCAUAGAUAUGUCACAGAACACCGAUUGCGAAGGCAGCUUACUAAGGUGUCAAUGACGCUGAGGCACGAAAGCGUGGGGAUCAAACAGG
RNAcentral lists this unclassified non-coding RNA (253 nucleotides) under uncultured Sphingobacteriaceae bacterium. RNAcentral describes it as "contains 16S-23S intergenic spacer region". It matches the Rfam family "Bacterial small subunit ribosomal RNA", at positions 524 to 776 of the family's 1533-position model. Lineage: Bacteria; Pseudomonadati; Bacteroidota; Sphingobacteriia; Sphingobacteriales; Sphingobacteriaceae. The record is from RNAcentral.